ACAAAAGAUUUUUCAAGGCAUUCUGUCAUUUUAAAUAAAAAUAGCUAGGUAGUUAUUGAGACCUCGGUUAAGUAAAGCUAGCCGUACCUAACAGCCGCACCUUAGCCGUACCUUAGCCGUACUUAAGAAAAUUCGUAAUUAGCAGCUCUGUGUGAAUAUCUAUGCCGAUAAAAAUGAUGCAAAAUGGAGCACUCCAUCGUCGAGCCCCAGUAACCCCCAGGGAAUC
Long non-coding RNA from Hydractinia symbiolongicarpus, 226 nucleotides. RefSeq lists it as uncharacterized. The transcript has 2 exons. The record is from RefSeq and is a predicted model, not a curated record. NCBI's taxonomy places the organism in Eukaryota, Metazoa, Cnidaria, Hydrozoa, Anthoathecata, Hydractiniidae.